RNAcentral lists this long non-coding RNA (1471 nucleotides) under Anser brachyrhynchus (Pink-footed goose). Its description in RNAcentral is "lncRNA (ENSABRG00000003903.1)". The record is from RNAcentral. Lineage: Eukaryota; Metazoa; Chordata; Aves; Anseriformes; Anatidae.
GCCGAUGGCCGCGGCGAAGAGCUCGCUGAGGCAACCGCCUCCCGCCGCCCGCCUCCGCCGUCAGGGGCUCGCUUUCACCUCCCUCCUCUCCUCCCUGCGGCUUGCCGGGAAGUGUAGUUCCUCCUGUCGCCUGCCCCCUUGUCCCUCAGCCCCUCCUCAGGGCCGGCUCCGUGCCCGCUGGGGACAGCCCCGGGGAGGGCGAGGCAUGGUUGGGGGCCGCGGACCGAAAGUGGAGGUCGCGCUGGUGGUUUGGUGUAUUCUUACGUGUCGGGGAAGCGUUGAAAAGCUUUGGAGUAAGUCAGUGAAGCGCGGAGAUGUGGAGGAACUGAGCUGCCAAGUAAUGAAGCAGGUCAGAAGUGUUUUACUCGUGGAUGGCAUGCUGGUUAAAUCUCAGUGAAACCACUAUGUGAGACAGAACACAAUAUUUGCAUUACGACUCUGUACUGUGCAAUGCAAAAGAGACUAGAGGGGUCGCUGCUUCUUGUAGACCUUCAAGUCCAGUACUGUGUGGAAAUAGAUCUGAGGAAGGACGAGAGAACACGCUGUUUCUGUACGCUGUUCCACCUGCUGCAUGCGUGCCAGCUGCACUCACUCUGGGGCAGUUGCUGUAGACAGCUGGGGAAGGGUGAGUGAGAGCAGUCUUGGCACAGAUGUGACUGUUAUGAACUAAACUUUAGGGAUUGUGUCUGAAUUAUUCCAGUGCUGACAUACAUAGACAGUGGUGAUAGAGGUGCGUGGUGGUAUGUUUCCGCCGUAAGUACUGCCUGCAAUUUAGUGACAUGUGCCUUGAGUCUCUAAAGCUCAUGGGAAAUGAUACAAUGUCUCAGGAGAACUCUGUAGGGCAAGGAGGAGGUGGAGCAAGCCUUGUGUCAUUUCCAUGGAAUAGGUUCGAUGCUUGCAUACAGACCAGGCAAAACUAGUUUCUGCAGACCCUCUUGUUACAGUAGAACAUGUCGAUCCCCUGCCCAAUAUGAUUAUGAUUGUUAGCAGUUGUGUGGAAAUCUGGUGGGGAGGAAGGGGAAGAGGUAGAAAAGGAACGUGGAAAGUAAUUAUAGAAAACUAUUUGUUAGGGGAGUAUUAAAAAGGUAUAGAAACCCAAAACAUGAUGACCAGGAAACAGAAAGCAGCAAAUGGGCUAUGAGAUGUCCUUGUUCUACAAGCUAAAAUUCUGUGGCUUAGCAAAGGAUCACAGAAUGGGGAAAAUUCUCUGUUUCCCAAUAAUGGAAAACAGAGAUGAAUGUGUUAUCUUACCAGAUGUUUUACUUUAUAAAAGGUGGGAUAAAUAAUGAGUAAUUUUACUUCUUUGGGUACUUAAUGAAAGAGGCAAAAUUUUGGUUUGGCCACCGAGUGGAAGUAACAUCCUAAAAGAGGACUAUAAAGUAGUGGAUGCGUUACCUUGGAAACAAUGAGAGCCUUCAUUAGGCAGGUCGCUGUUAAUAAAAAGUUAAUUAAGAAUACUGGUAGUGAAGCA